Molecule: long non-coding RNA, 131 nt
Organism: Amblyraja radiata (thorny skate)
Lineage: Eukaryota; Metazoa; Chordata; Chondrichthyes; Rajiformes; Rajidae
Exons: 3
Source: RefSeq, a predicted model, not a curated record
AAUCAUACUUAAGUACAAGUGUGUGAGAUUAGUAGAUCACAUUGAGGCACUACACGAGAGGCGCCAUGUUUCCAGCGACAUCUUGUGCCCUUCAAGUUCAGAGUUAUUAAAAAUCACAUGGCCAUUUGGAA